GAUGAACGCUAGCUACAGGCUUAACACAUGCAAGUCGAGGGGUAACGAGAGGGAAGCUUGCUUUCCUUGUCGACGACCGGCGCACGGGUGAGUAACGCGUAUCCAACCUGCCCCCAACUAGGGAAUAACCUUGCGAAAGUAAGACUAAUACCCUAUAAUUUCCUCAGAUGUCAUCUGACGAGGAAUAAAGAUUUAUCGGUUGUGGAUGGGGAUGCGUCUGAUAGCUUGUUGGCGGGGUAACGGCCCACCAAGGCAACGAUCAGUAGGGGUUCUGAGAGGAAGGUCCCCCACAUUGGAACUGAGACACGGGCCAAACUCCUACGGGAGGCAGCAGUGAGGAGUAUUGGUCAAUGGGCGAAAGCCUGAACCAGCCAAGUAGCGUGCAGGAUGACGGCCCUAUGGGUUGUAAACUGCUUUUAUACAGGAAUAAAGUUAGCCACGUGUGGUUAUUUGUAGGUACUGUAUGAAUAAGGACCGGCUAAUUCCGUGCCAGCCGCCGCCGUAA
This 505-nucleotide ribosomal RNA is filed under the name uncultured bacterium. RNAcentral describes it as "partial 16S ribosomal RNA". It matches the Rfam family "Bacterial small subunit ribosomal RNA", at positions 28 to 523 of the family's 1533-position model. The record is from RNAcentral.